AUGAACGCUGGCGGCGUGCCUAAUACAUGCAAGUCGAGCGAACAGACGAGGAGCUUGCUCCUCUGACGUUAGCGGCGGACGGGUGAGUAACACGUGGAUAACCUACCUAUAAGACUGGGAUAACUUCGGGAAACCGGAGCUAAUACCGGAUAAUAUAUUGAACCGCAUGGUUCAAUAGUGAAAGACGGUUUUGCUGUCACUUAUAGAUGGAUCCACGCCGCAUUAGCUAGUUGGUAAGGUAACGGCUUACCAAGGCAACGAUGCGUAGCCGACCUGAGAGGGUGAUCGGCCACACAGGAACUGAGACACGGUCCAGACUCCUACGGGAGGCAGCAGUAGGGAAUCUUCCGCAAUGGGCGAAAGCCUGACGGAGCAACGCCGCGUGAGUGAUGAAGGUCUUCGGAUCGUAAAACUCUGUUAUUAGGGAAGAACAAAUGUGUAAGUAACUAUGCACGUCUUGACGGUACCUAAUCAGAAAGCCACGGCUAACUACGUG
RNAcentral lists this ribosomal RNA (496 nucleotides) under uncultured bacterium. RNAcentral describes it as "partial 16S ribosomal RNA". It matches the Rfam family "Bacterial small subunit ribosomal RNA", at positions 29 to 507 of the family's 1533-position model. The record is from RNAcentral.